AACGAACGCUGGCGGCAUGCCUAACACAUGCAAGUCGAACGAGACCUUCGGGUCUAGUGGCGUACGGGUGCGUAACGCGUGGGAACCUGCCUUUAGGUUCGGAAUAACUCAGAGAAAUUUGAGCUAAUACCGGAUGAUGUCUUCGGACCAAAGAUUUAUCGCCUUUAGAUGGGCCCGCGUUGGAUUAGCUAGUUGGUGGGGUAAAGGCCUACCAAGGCGACGAUCCAUAGCUGGUCUGAGAGGAUGAUCAGCCACACUGGGACUGAGACACGGCCCAGACUCCUACGGGAGGCAGCAGUGGGGAAUAUUGGACAAUGGGCGAAAGCCUGAUCCAGCAAUGCCGCGUGAGUGAUGAAGGCCUUAGGGUUGUAAAGCUCUUUUACCCGAGAUGAUAAUGACAGUAUCGGGAGAAUAAGCUCCGGCUAACUCCGUG
Molecule: ribosomal RNA, 433 nt
Filed under: uncultured bacterium
Lineage: Bacteria
Description: partial 16S ribosomal RNA
Rfam family: Bacterial small subunit ribosomal RNA
Source: RNAcentral